GAUGAACGCUGGCGGCGUGCCUAAUACAUGCAAGUCGAGCGUACAGAUGAGGAGCUUGCUCCUCUGACGUUAGCGGCGGACGGGUGAGUAACACGUGGAUAACCUACCUAUAAGACUGGGAUAACUUCGGGAAACCGGAGCUAAUACCGGAUAAUAUAUUGAACCGCAUGGUUCAAUAGUGAAAGACGGUUUUGCUGUCACUUAUAGAUGGAUCCGCGCCGCAUUAGCUAGUUGGUAAGGUAACGGCUUACCAAGGCAACGAUGCGUAGCCGACCUGAGAGGGUGAUCGGCCACACUGGAACUGAGACACGGUCCAGACUCCUACGGGAGGCAGCAAUAGGGAAUCUUCCGCAAUGGGCGAAAGCCUGACGGAGCAACGCCGCGUGAGUGAUGAAGGUCUUCGGAUCGUAAAACUCUGUUAUUAGGGAAGAACAAAUGUGUAAGUAACUAUGCACGUCUUGACGGUACCUAAUCAGAAAGCCACGGCUAACUACGUG
This 497-nucleotide ribosomal RNA is filed under the name uncultured bacterium. Its description in RNAcentral is "partial 16S ribosomal RNA". It matches the Rfam family "Bacterial small subunit ribosomal RNA", at positions 28 to 507 of the family's 1533-position model. The record is from RNAcentral.